GAUAAGGCUUUUUUAAAAGCCAAAAGGUUAUAAAAAUAAAGUGGCU
This is a non-coding RNA of Xiphophorus maculatus (southern platyfish), 46 nucleotides long. The record is from Rfam. Lineage: Eukaryota; Metazoa; Chordata; Actinopteri; Cyprinodontiformes; Poeciliidae.